CGAGACCCAAGUCUGCGAGAGAAUGAGGGGAAAGAAAAGAUGACUGAAGUAGAAGAAUGAAGAGUCACUACAGGAAUCCUGGAGAAUAGACGGAUCAUGCAAGUGGAGCAGCCAAGAAAUUGCAAGAUAAAGAGAAAAUGAGUCGUGCCCAUGGACUCUCCCGAUCAACAAGAACUUGUUCUGCCUGGCAACAGAGCGCUCAGUGUUCAGCUACUUGUAACGCAAGGCUUUUCGAAGGGACGCUUUGGGAAGCGCCGGACCUUGUAAAAGAAGAAGAAGAAGAAGAAGAAGCAGAGUCGCCGCUGUCCCCAAUGAAGGAGCCGGACGCCAUCAAGCUCUUCGUCGGCCAGAUCCCUCGCAAUCUGGAGGAGAAGGACCUCAAGCCUAUCUUCGAGCAGUUUGGCAAGAUCUACGAACUGACUGUGAUCAAGGACAAGUACACGGGCAUGCACAAAGGAUGCGCGUUCUUGACGUACUGUGCCAGAGAGUCCGCACUGAAAGCCCAAAAUGCGUUACACGAGCAGAAGACAUUGCCAGGGAUGAACCGACCCAUUCAGGUGAAGCCAGCAGACAGCGAGGGCCGUGGAGACAGGAAGCUGUUUGUGGGAAUGCUGGGGAAGCAGCAGUCGGACACCGACGUGAGAAAGAUGUUCGAGCCUUUCGGCAGUAUAGAGGAGUGUACUGUGCUCAGAGGACCAGACGGAGCCAGCAAAGGUUGUGCGUUUGUGAAAUACCAGAGCAACGCAGAGGCCCAAGCGGCCAUUAACGCUCUUCAUGGCAGCCGCACUCUGCCGGGAGCCUCUUCCAGUCUUGUGGUGAAGUUUGCAGACACAGAGAAGGAGCGGGGCAUCAGGCGCAUGCAGCAGGUUGCCUCUCAGCUGGGCGUCAUCAGCCCCAUGAGCCUCCACCUGGGGGCCUACAACGCUUACACACAGGCUCUGGUCCAGCAACAGGCUUUGGUGGCUCAGUCGGCCUAUCUGUCUCCCGUGGCAACGGUUGCUGCGGUGCAGAUGCAGCAGUUGGCUGCUCUUAACCCAAGCAGCAUCAUAGCGACACCCAUCGCGUCAAUCACCCCAUCCUCAGGUGCGAGCACACCUCCUGCUAUUGCUGCCACACCAGUGCCUACUCUUCCACCAAUUGCAGUCAACAGUUACUCGGCCGUUCCUGCCCCACCCAGCGGGCAAUCAGCCUCUGAAACACUGUACACCAACGGCGUCCACCAAUAUCAAGCUCAGAGCCCUGCCUUGGAUCCUCUUCAGCAGGCGUACACUGGAAUGCAGCAUUACACUGCCACAUAUCCUGCUGCGUAUGGUUUGGUUGGUCAGCCGUUCCCACAUCAGCCCACGCUAGUUGCUCAGCAAACCCAACAGCCUCAGCAGCUGCAGCAGCGAGAAGGUCCAGAGGGAUGUAAUAUCUUCAUCUAUCACCUGCCACAGGAGUUCACCGACUCUGAGAUGCUGCAGAUGUUUCUGCCCUUCGGCAACGUCAUCUCAGCCAAGGUUUUCGUCGACCGCGCAACCAAUCAGAGCAAAUGCUUCGGUUUUGUAAGCUUCGACAACCCCGCCAGCGCUCAGACUGCCAUCCAGGCCAUGAAUGGAUUUCAGAUUGGCAUGAAAAGACUGAAAGUGCAGCUGAAAAGGCCCAAAGAUGCCAACCGCCCAUACUAACAUGGCCAGGUGAGAGAGAGUGAGAGAGACAGAAAAAGAGAUGGGGGGUUGAAAGAGCAUCAGUGCAGGCAGUUCUGACUUAUUAGACCAGAAGUACUGUAUCUUAACGAUAGAGUAAAACAUGAUUACAGAAUAAAACGGGCUCUCGGCCUCCAUGAUGAUUUGAACUAAACGUAUCACGACGAGGAACAGGUUCUCAAAGCAGUUCUAGACUGAUGAUUAGACUACGCAGUAUAUUUGAAGGGAAUGUAUUAUGAACUGAGUGUAAUGUGUUUAGAAAUGCUUUAAAGUGAACAAGACAAUAAUCAGUUGAUUAAUUUUUACUUUUCAUUUAUUUUUUUUGUUUUUGUGCUGUGUCAUCGCUCAUUCUCCUGAAAUCAAACAAACAAACAAACAAACAAACAAACCUCAUCCCCACCCAAGGCUGCCCUGGCCAAUCAUAACUCGUGCGGAGACUACGUCGCUAUGGCUGCGGUGGCCAUAGCAACCAAUAAAGCUUCCCCCUUCCUGUCACAGCGGUUGUUGUCAAAAAAAUUAACAAAAAGAAGACGACUGAAGAAGUUGGUUUGGAGAAAAAAAAACAAAAAACAAAAUUUCCUCAGCUGUAAAUUAAUUAUGGGACCAACUGCUCAUUUUAAAAACCUGCUACAAAAGAACACUGAAUCAAAUAUAUACAUUUAACAGAUUUAACACUAACCCGCUGCACAAGACUUGGGUUAAUAAUAUACAUUUACAGCCUCGUCAGUAUACAGCAUAAUGACCAAUAACUGUUUAUAGGCACAUUGUUGUACAGCUAAUAACCGGCUCCACACUAUUCCUGCAAUGUCACACUCCUUUCAUGCACACUAUUUAAAAGUGUGUGUGUGUAUGUAUGUAUGUGUGUAUGUGUGUGUGCGUGUGUGUCUGAGUGUUUAGGAGUUUGGAGGGAAGGCUCCAUCUGGCCUUGAACUGAAACUGCACAUAAAAUGGGACCAACAUCAUUGUGUAAUAGCUGCACAGCAAGGCCUUUUGUGUGUGUGUGUGUGUGUGUGUGUGUGUGUGUGUGUGUGUGUGUGUUUUCUUCUGCUGGUUUGUGCUUACUGCACACUAUGGGGAUCUACUCAGCACCAGUUAUGUGUAUAUAGAAAUUUAUUUGGGCUAUGUGAAGGCAUAUCAGUGGAGAGGGAGGUGGGAGGGGAGGUGUGGGGUAAUUCGGGUGGGUUUUUCAAGUAAUUUAAGCUCAAAAGUGCAGAGCAUCAUGGGUAUGUUAGCUAGGGAAGAAGGACCGAAAAUGACUGAAUAUUGUCCCUCAUGGUCAGGCUGUAGUUAGAUUUUACAUUUCCAGAUAGGAUGAUUUGAUGGGAAAAUGUAAUGAGCAAAUAGAGUGGAAAUCAUUUUAAAAAUUUAUUUGUAUUUCAUUGUAUAUAUCAUGGUUUGAAAAUUGAGGUUAAGAUUAUUAUUAUUAUUAUUAUUAUUAUUAUUAUUAUUAUUAUUAUUAUUAUCUCCUUAUCUAAUUUUUCUAAUCUUUUUUUUUUUCAAUAAUUAAUUAACUUAUUGAUUUCCAGAUUUUUUUUUAAAUUAUUAUUAUUUAUGAAGCUUUUAUGAAGGUUCACUGGCACAUGUGUGCAGGAGUUAAAUUAUUUUUUAGAUCUUUUAUUUACAGAAUAACAAUUGAGGAACAAUCAUUAAUAUUUAAUAUUUAUUUAUUUUCUUCAGCCAUUGUUUCCUAACCUGUCAAUUACAAGAAAAAAAAUAAAAGUUUUAAAUAACUGGU
Molecule: RNA transcript, 3420 nt
Organism: Ictalurus punctatus (channel catfish)
Lineage: Eukaryota; Metazoa; Chordata; Actinopteri; Siluriformes; Ictaluridae
Gene: celf3a
Gene name: cugbp, Elav-like family member 3a
Exons: 15
Source: RefSeq, a predicted model, not a curated record